This 101-nucleotide ribosomal RNA is filed under the name Mustela putorius furo (domestic ferret). The record is from RNAcentral. Lineage: Eukaryota; Metazoa; Chordata; Mammalia; Carnivora; Mustelidae.
CAUACCACCCUGAACGCGCCCGAUCUCGUCUGAUCUCGGAAGCUAAUAAGCAGGGUCGGGCCUGGUUAGUACUUGGAUGGGAAAUAAUGUCAAAUAAUAAC